RNAcentral lists this ribosomal RNA (486 nucleotides) under uncultured bacterium. RNAcentral describes it as "partial 16S ribosomal RNA". It matches the Rfam family "Bacterial small subunit ribosomal RNA", at positions 30 to 507 of the family's 1533-position model. The record is from RNAcentral.
AUUGAACGCUGGCGGCAUGCCUUACACAUGCAAGUCGAACGGCAGCACGGAUGCUUGCACCUGGUGGCGAGUGGCGAACGGGUGAGUAAUACAUCGGAACAUGUCCUGUAGUGGGGGAUAGCCCGGCGAAAGCCGGAUUAAUACCGCAUACGAUCUACGGAUGAAAGCGGGGGACCUUCGGGCCUCGCGCUAUAGGGUUGGCUGAUGGCUGAUUAGCUAGUUGGUGGGGUAAAGGCCUACCAAGGCGACGAUCAGUAGCUGGUCUGAGAGGACGACCAGCCACACUGGGACUGAGACACGGCCCAGACUCCUACGGGAGGCAGCAGUGGGGAAUUUUGGACAAUGGGCGAAAGCCUGAUCCAGCAAUGCCGCGUGUGUGAAGAAGGCCUUCGGGUUGUAAAGCACUUUUGUCCGGAAAGAAAUCCUUGGCCCUAAUACGGUCGGGGGAUGACGGUACCGGAAGAAUAAGCACCGGCUAACUACGUG